UACAGAGGGUGCAAGCGUUAAUCGGAAUUACUGGGCGUAAAGCGCACGUAGGCGGUUAGUUAAGUUGGAUGUGAAAGCCCCGGGCUCAACCUGGGAAUUGCAUUUGAAACUGGGAAACUAGAGUGUGUGAGAGGGGGGUAGAAUUCCAAGUGUAGCGGUGAAAUGCGUAGAGAUUUGGAGGAAUACCAGUGGCGAAGGCGGCCCCCUGGCACAACACUGACGCUCAGGUGCGAAAGCGUGGGGAGCAAACAGG
This 253-nucleotide ribosomal RNA is filed under the name uncultured bacterium. Its description in RNAcentral is "partial 16S ribosomal RNA". It matches the Rfam family "Bacterial small subunit ribosomal RNA", at positions 524 to 776 of the family's 1533-position model. The record is from RNAcentral.